Long non-coding RNA from Eublepharis macularius, 3920 nucleotides. RefSeq lists it as uncharacterized. NCBI's taxonomy places the organism in Eukaryota, Metazoa, Chordata, Lepidosauria, Squamata, Eublepharidae. The record is from RefSeq and is a predicted model, not a curated record. The transcript has 4 exons.
UUUUUCAUAUGCAUUAACAUAUUGCAGUCUUGAUGACAACCCAGGGGUGGUCUUAGCCAAUACAGGGGCAACUGCUUCCAAACACCAUAUUUGGGGGCAGAUUUUAGCAAAAUAUUCUCCUUCAGCACAACCUGGUUGGAAAAGGACAUCAUUUCCUGGUGCAACUGGUUGCAAGCAGCUUCUUUCCUGGAAACUUGUAACUGGAGCUGCCUUAUACUGAGUCAGACGAGGACACCGCCUGUCUUCCUCGCCAAGUGAGGCUGCCACCUUUCCAGAUAUAUGCUUUCAAAUGGCCUUGGGAUCCUAAUCUAUGUUUGUGAUGGCGCCCAGGAAUCUGGAGGUCAUAUUCUGUGCUGAUUAAUUGUUCUGGAGCACAAUAGUAAGCCGGUUUACUGCCUGCAUCAGCUCACCUUCCUACUUCAUUAUGACAGAAAUCAACCGGUAAUUCCAGCAGCAGCGUGUCGCAAAGAACUUCAGGUGGGAGAUCUGAUAGCACAUCAUCUUCUUACUCGGGAAGAAUCUUGUAAGGAUGAGAGCCAGCCUGGCUUAGAGCGCUUUCACACACAAAGCUUAUGUUGGCUUUGCUUGAAAUUGGUUCCUAAAACGAAUGGCUGCAGCAUUCAUUUGAUUUCUCUUCCAAACCCUCUCCCAUAUGAACAGCAUUCACAAGUGAUGCAAAAAGCACAAUAUGGAUCCAAAUGUGCAUUUUCUUUGGAGUGGCUGUGUGUGUGAAAAUGCUCAAACAGAGAAAGCUUGCAAAUACCUAGCUCAGGUUUUUGCCUUUGCUAUGAAAUGUGGUGCCCUAAGAUAAGCCGCAAUAUGAGUUUAACAUAUUAAAGGGGUGUUUAAGAACAACCAGCCUAUUGUGCAUGGGAAGUCUUUGGACCAGUCUAGAGAGCUAUACAAAUUAUUAGGACAUGCUUCCAUGAUAGAAAAACUGGUUGAGUAGCAGUAUCUUAAGAAGGGAGAUCUGACUCUCAGAUGCUUCUACCCUGAAAAUCUUGUUGGUCUCUAAGGUGCUACUAGACCCAAAUCCCUCAGGUUUAAUAGUAACUCCUUCUUCUUAAGGAACUCUGGUGCAACAGCCAAAUUUGUUGUACACUACAGUACAAUACUCCUUUUUUUAUUUCAAGGAACUCUGGGAAGUGCAGUUCUGUGCGGUCCGCUAGAUAAAGAUUUGUAUCAAAGAACUACCAGCACUAAACUACAGUUCCCAAGAUCCUCUGGGGAAGCUGUGACAGUCAAAGGGAUAUAAGUGAACACAUGAAGUUGCUUUAUACUGAGUUCAGUCCACUAGUCUACCAAAGUCAGUCUUGUCUCCUCUGAUUGUCAGCGGCUCUCCAGGGUCUCAGGUGGAAGUCUUUCACAUCUCUCUUAAACAAACAAUUAAAAAAAACUAGACAUGCUGGGGAUUAAAAUUUGGGACCAUCACCAUACAAAACAGAUGCUUUGCCAUGGAGUCAUGGUCCCUCUCUAGUAGAUGAUCCCAAAGUGGUCUACAGUGGGUGGGUUGCUCCUUAAAUCAAGAUAGCCAAUACUAUAUCUUCAAGCCAACCCAACAAGACAAAUUUUUAUACAAAAUGGGAACCUUUUUUUGAUUUUCUAGCUAAAAAUGAACUUUUACUAACAAAAUUGAGAUUUCAAGAAAUUAUGGAAAUGGAAACGUGGGGUUUCCGGUAAACAUAACUAUUAGGAAACUAUACCAAGACGGUUACUGUUAUAAAGGUCCGUUUCUCAUUUCAUAAUUGGAUGAAAGUUUAAAAUUAUAUAUAUUGAUAAGAUUAUCUCUGUAUUACGAUUUGGUUGAGAUUUGAGUACUUAAUAUUGUUAUUAUUAUUGUUUGUAUGUUACAAGUUAAUAAUAAAAUAUUUUUUUUUUAAAAAAGAUAGCCAAUACUAGAUGUUAGGAGGACUCUAUGCUGUUCUUUUCCUCAGGUUUCAGAGGGGGAUAAUCCAAAGAGUUAGAAAGAUAGAGAGGUCAAGGCACUCUUUUUACUGCUUACUGCUCCUUUGAUAUGUAGAUUGCUACUCUCAGGAUGUCCUCCUCCUAACUUCCUCCCUUUCAACUGUUUUCUUCCUGGCUUUGUUCCAGGCAACAUAUCUCUCCUUUUCCUCCCUCCAUCUUGGAAGCAUGGACUUGUCCUAGCAUCCAUGCCCAUCCAUAGACUAGCUAGGUAGUUAGGAUCUGUCUCUCCUCCUUUCCUAUCAGAAUAUGGAGUUCCUACAAUAAAGAAUUCUUAUUUCCUUUCUAAAUAUAAACAAGUGUAAGCUUUGUUAUUUUCUCUCCUGCACACACACCAACCAGCAGAACCAGCUCACAACUUCCUAUAAUCAUGCUUCCUCUGCUAAACAAUAGACUCCGCUAAUGGCCCAAACAUGGAAUCCUUUAAUUAGGUUUCUGGGGUCAACAUACGAUUUAUUUAUCACUAGAGACACUUCAACAGUUUUCCUUCAUUUGUUCUCUCUAUCCCAUCCUUCAUCCAGGGAGUUCAAGGCAGCAUACAUGAGUCCACCUUAGGGUUUUCAAACUCCAGGUGGAGCCUGGAGUUCUCCUAGAAUUACAACUGAUCUCCAGGCUUAUAGAGACCAGCUCCCUUGGAGAAAAUGGCGGCUUCAGAGGAUGGACUGUAUGGCAUCUCAUCCCUGCUGGGGCUCCUCUUCUCUCCAAACUGUGCCUUCCUCACGCUCUGCCCCCAAGAAUCUUCCAACCUGGAGUUGGUGACCAUAGGACCCCCCUCCAUUUUAUCCUUGCAACAAUCCAGGUAGAGGCCUUCUUGGCUGCUGUUCCUGAACUGUGAAACUAUUGACCUAGGAUUUAUAGAGUAUGUGUGGAGUGAAUUGAGCCUUUCAGGUUAUGAGUUUGAUUGUAUGUAACUCCAUCGGCACAUAGCACUUUAUUAAGUAUAUAAAGAGUAUAUGAUUGCCAAAUUGGAGUGAGAGUGGUCGGAGCUCAGGGUGGACUUGGGUCCUUUUGUUUUUGUGCUCAUACCCAUGAGAGCCUCUUCCCCCCACCCCCAACCUCCAGGUGAGGCCUAGAGUUCUCCUGGAAUUACAACAGCUCUCCAGACUAGAGAGAUCACUUCCCCUGGAGAAAGUGGCAGCUCCAGAGAGAGGAUUCUAUGGCAUUAUAUUCCUGCAGAUCUCCCUCUGCCGGCUCUACCCCCAAAGCCCCAAGAAUUUCCCAGCCUAAAAGUGGCCUAGACCCAGUGCAUUAUUUCUUGCAUUUGCACAAGAGAAAGGGUUGGGGGGGUGGUCUAUGGCAAGAGCUUUUACUCAGAUAGGAAGACAGGAUUGUAAGGAGGGAGUCUCAGAUGUUUCGCUAAUGAAUUAGGGGAAAAGGGUAAAGGUAGUCCCCUGUGCAAGCAUCAAGUCAUUACUGACCCAUGGAGGGACAUCGCAUCACGACGUUUUCUUGGCAAACUUUUUGUUACGGGAUGGUUUGCCAUUGCCUUCCCCAGUCAUCUACACUUUACCCCCAGGAAACGGUACUCAUUUUACCAACCUCGGAAGGAUGGAAGGCUGAGUCAACCUUGAGCUAGCGACUUGACCCCAGCUUCCUCCAGGAUCAAACUCAGGUUGUGAACAGAGCUCACCAUAGACUUCACCAUUAUUUUGCAUUACAUAUUAUCUGUUGCUUUAAAUAUGUACUCCUGUAUACUACUUGUGCUUCAUGUCAUCUAAUGUCAGUCCUAGAAUUGAUUAUGUUCUGUUUCAGCAGUUCUUCAACCCCGUAUUGGAUCCUUGCUAAUGCUAUGUCUUUGUAAACUUGUAUUCAUUUACCCUAUGACAUUGUUUAUGGAAAUGUCCUUGAUACUGUAUGGAAAUGCCUGCCCUUGUCCUUGCCACUGAUUGUACUAAUCUCACACUCUUUAAUCCACCUUGAGUCUCAGUGAGAAAGGCGGACUAUAAAUGACAUAAAUA